This is a ribosomal RNA of Brassica oleracea var. oleracea, 161 nucleotides long. It matches the Rfam family "Eukaryotic small subunit ribosomal RNA", at positions 1667 to 1823 of the family's 1831-position model. Lineage: Eukaryota; Viridiplantae; Streptophyta; Magnoliopsida; Brassicales; Brassicaceae. The record is from Rfam.
CACCGCUCGUCGCUCCUACCGAUUGAAUGAUCCGGUGAAGUGUUCGGAUCGCGGCGACGUGGGUUGUUCGCCUUCUGCGACGUUGCGAAAAGUCCACUAAACCUUAUCAUUUAGAGGAAGGAGACGUCGUAACAAGGUUUCCCUAAGUGAACCUGCAGAAG